RNAcentral lists this ribosomal RNA (159 nucleotides) under Raffaelea rapaneae. RNAcentral describes it as "5.8S ribosomal RNA". It matches the Rfam family "5.8S ribosomal RNA". From Rfam's summary of the family: 5.8S ribosomal RNA (5.8S rRNA) is a component of the large subunit of the eukaryotic ribosome. It is transcribed by RNA polymerase I as part of the 45S precursor that also contains 18S and 28S rRNA. Lineage: Eukaryota; Fungi; Ascomycota; Sordariomycetes; Ophiostomatales; Ophiostomataceae. The record is from RNAcentral.
AAAACUUUCAACAACGGAUCUCUUGGCUCUGGCAUCGAUGAAGAACGCAGCGAAAUGCGAUAAGUAAUGCGAAUUGCAGAAUUCAGCGAGUCAUCGAAUCUUUGAACGCACAUUGCGCCCGCCAGCAUUCUGGCGGGCAUGCCUGUCCGAGCGUCAUUU